AGGGCACCACCAGGAGUGGAGCCUGCGGCUUAAUUUGACUCAACACGGGAAAACUCACCCGGCCCGGACACCGUAAGGAUUGACAGACUGAGAGCUCUUUCUUAAUUCGGUGGGUGGUGGUGCAUGGCCGUUCUUAGUUGGUGGAGCGAUUUGUCUGGUUAAUUCCGAUAACGAACGAGACUCUGGCCUAUUAAAUAGACGGUAUAUCGAAAAGUAUAUCGCGCUUCUUAGAGGGACAAGCGGCGUCUAGCCGCAUGAAAUAGAGCAAUAACAGGUCUGUGAUGCCCUUAGAUGUCCGGGGCUGCACGCGCGCUACACUGAAAGAAUCAGCGUGCGCUUUACCUAGUUCGGAAGAACCGGGUAACCCAAGUAAAUUCUUUCGUGCUUGGGAUAGGGAAUUGCAAUUAUUUCCCUUAAACGAGGAACUCCCGGUAAAUGCGGGUCAUAAGCUCGCGUUGAUUACGUCCCUGCCCUUUGUACACACCGCCCGUCGCUACUACCGAUUGGAUGACUUAGUGA
Molecule: ribosomal RNA, 519 nt
Filed under: uncultured eukaryote
Lineage: Eukaryota
Description: SSU rRNA
Rfam family: Eukaryotic small subunit ribosomal RNA
Source: RNAcentral